UGCCUCAUAGCUCAAUUGGCAGAGCUACGCGCUGUUAACGCGGGGGUUGUAGGUUCGAGUCCUACUGGGGCAGCCA
Molecule: transfer RNA, 76 nt
Filed under: Fischerella muscicola CCMEE 5323
Lineage: Bacteria; Bacillati; Cyanobacteriota; Cyanophyceae; Nostocales; Hapalosiphonaceae
Also listed under: 1 other name
Description: tRNA-Asn
Rfam family: tRNA
About the family: Transfer RNA (tRNA) molecules are approximately 80 nucleotides in length. Their secondary structure includes four short double-helical elements and three loops (D, anti-codon, and T loops).
Source: RNAcentral